UACGUAGGGCGCAAGCGUUAUCCGGAAUUAUUGGGCGUAAAGAGCUCGUAGGCGGUUUGUCGCGUCUGCCGUGAAAGUCCGGGGCUCAACUCCGGAUCUGCGGUGGGUACGGGCAGACUAGAGUGAUGUAGGGGAGACUGGAAUUCCUGGUGUAGCGGUGAAAUGCGCAGAUAUCAGGAGGAACACCGAUGGCGAAGGCAGGUCUCUGGGCCGUGACUGACGCUGAGGAGCGAAAGCGUGGGGAGCAAACAGG
RNAcentral lists this ribosomal RNA (253 nucleotides) under uncultured bacterium. Its description in RNAcentral is "partial 16S ribosomal RNA". It matches the Rfam family "Bacterial small subunit ribosomal RNA", at positions 524 to 776 of the family's 1533-position model. The record is from RNAcentral.